CNNUNNUGGCGAAUGAACAGGGGCAUGCUCAGCAUGAAAAUCGGGGCCUGCGGGCCUGAGUUGUAGUCUCGGGAGGUACUGCCAACAGAGGCGCUGCUGUACGUCUCUUGGAAAUGAGUAUCAAUGAGGGUGAGGGUCCNGUUUGUCAAUGGCAGCCCACUGUGCACGGUGUACAUUCUAAGAGUCACGUUCCUUGGGAUUGGAGCGCAAUGCGGGUGGUAAGCUUCAUCUAAAGCUACAUAUGGGCUCAAGACCGAUUGCAAACAAGUACCAUGAGGGAAAGGUGAAAAGGACUUUGAAAAGAAAGUUACAAGUGCCUGAAAUCGCUGAAAAGGAAGUGAGCGAAACCAAUGUGUCUUGGUGAGAUUGCUGCACACAAGUGCCAUUGCUUGCUGCGCCAGCACACGUGUGGCAGUAAGUCUUGCGCAGGUUGCGUGCAGUGCUUUUUGCCUUGCCUGUCAACGUCGCUUCACGCUUGAGGAAGAUUUCAAGGACAUGGUAGCUCCCCCCAAGGGGCGAAUAUCUUUGUGUGUACUCAUGCGAAGGGUGNUCGGAGAGCAAAUGGCAGCGCUCGACCCGUCUUGAAACACGGACCAAGGAGUCUAACCUGUAUGCAAGCUUGUGGAUGGAUAAGGCUUUUGUGCACAAUGAAAGUGACUGCUGGGAUUUUUGCACCAGCCACCGACCUAUCAAUUGAGAGAGGUUUGAGUAUGAGCAUAUUUGUUAGGACCCGAAAGAUGGUGAACUACGCCUGUGAAGGGCAAGCUCAGGGGAAACUCUGAUGGAGGCUCAUAGCGAUACUGACGUGCAAAUCGUUCGUCAUACAUGGGUAUAGGGGCGAAAGACUAAUCGAACCAUCUAGUAGCUGGUUCCCUCCGAAGUUUCCCUCAGGAUAGCUGGACUU
RNAcentral lists this ribosomal RNA (904 nucleotides) under Peridinium cinctum. Its description in RNAcentral is "LSU rRNA". It matches the Rfam family "Eukaryotic large subunit ribosomal RNA", at positions 81 to 989 of the family's 3401-position model. Lineage: Eukaryota; Dinophyceae; Peridiniales; Peridiniaceae. The record is from RNAcentral.